RNAcentral lists this ribosomal RNA (422 nucleotides) under uncultured bacterium. RNAcentral describes it as "bacterial SSU rRNA". It matches the Rfam family "Bacterial small subunit ribosomal RNA", at positions 354 to 773 of the family's 1533-position model. The record is from RNAcentral.
GUGGGGAAUCUUGCGCAAUGGUCUAACGACUGACGCAGCGACGCCGCGUGUGGGAGGACGCCUUUCGGGGUGUAAACCACUGUUGCCCGGGACGAACAGGGUCAUUCGUGACCCCUGACGGUACCGGGUGAGGAAGCACCGGCUAACUCCGUGCCAGCAGCCGCGGUAAUACGGAGGGUGCGAGCGUUGUCCGGAAUCAUUGGGCGUAAAGGGCGCGUAGGUGGCCCGGUCAGUCUUUGGUGAAAGCGCGGGGCUCAACCCUGCGUCGGCCAGGGAUACUGCCGCGGCUCGAGCACUGUAGAGGCAGGCGGAAUUCCGGGUGUAGCGGUGGAAUGCGUAGAGAUCCGGAAGAACACCGGUGGCGAAGGCGGCCUGCUGGGCAGUUUGGCUGACACUGAGGCGCGACAGCGUGGGGAGCAAAC